GACGAACGCUGGCGGCGCGCCUAACACAUGCAAGUCGAACGAGCGAGAGAGAGCUUGCUUUCUCGAGCGAGUGGCGAACGGGUGAGUAACGCGUGAGGAACCUGCCUCAAAGAGGGGGACAACAGUUGGAAACGACUGCGAAUACCGCAUAAGCCCACGGCUCGGCAUCGAGCAGGGGGAAAAGGAGCAAUCCGCUUUGAGAUGGCCUCGCGUCCGAUUAGCUAGUUGGUGAGGUAACGGCCCACCAAGGCGACGAUCGGUAGCCGGACUGAGAGGUUGAACGGCCACAUUGGGACUGAGACACGGCCCAGACUCCUACGGGAGGCAGCAGUGGGGAAUAUUGCACAAUGGGGGAAACCCUGAUGCAGCGACGCCGCGUGGAGGAAGAAGGUCUUCGGAUUGUAAACUCCUGUUGUUGGGGAAGAUAAUGACGGUACCCAACAAGGAAGUGACGGCUAACUACGUG
This 466-nucleotide ribosomal RNA is filed under the name uncultured bacterium. RNAcentral's name for it is "partial 16S ribosomal RNA". It matches the Rfam family "Bacterial small subunit ribosomal RNA", at positions 28 to 507 of the family's 1533-position model. The record is from RNAcentral.